Molecule: ribosomal RNA, 292 nt
Filed under: uncultured bacterium
Lineage: Bacteria
Description: partial 16S ribosomal RNA
Rfam family: Archaeal small subunit ribosomal RNA
Source: RNAcentral
GUGCCAGCGGCGCGGUAAUACCGGCAGCUCAAGUGAUGUCCCAUAUUAUUGGGCCUAAAGCGUCCGUAGCUGGCUGCGCAAGUCCGUCGGGAAAUCCACUCGCCCAACGAGUGGGCGUCCGACGGAAACUGCACAGCUUGGGACCGGAAGGCUCGAAGGGUACGUUCGGGGUAGGAGUGAAAUCCUAUAAUCCCGCACGGACCACCGAUGGUGAAAGCACUUCGAGAAAGCGGAUCCGACAGUGAGGGACGAAAGCCAGGGUCUCCAACCGGAUUAGAUACCCCAGUAGUCC